RNAcentral lists this ribosomal RNA (548 nucleotides) under uncultured bacterium. Its description in RNAcentral is "bacterial SSU rRNA". It matches the Rfam family "Bacterial small subunit ribosomal RNA", at positions 355 to 896 of the family's 1533-position model. The record is from RNAcentral.
UGGGGAAUUUUGGACAAUGGGCGAACUUCUGAUCCAGCCAUGCCGCGUGCAGGAUGAAGGCCUUCGGGUUGUAAACUGCUUUUGUACGGAACGAAAAGACUCUGGUUAAUACCUGGGGUCCAUGACGGUACCGUAAGAAUAAGCACCGGCUAACUACGUGCCAGCAGCCGCGGUAAUACGUAGGGUGCAAGCGUUAAUCGGAAUUACUGGGCGUAAAGCGUGCGCAGGCGGUUAUAUAAGACAGAUGUGAAAUCCCCGGGCUCAACCUGGGAACUGCAUUUGUGACUGUAUAGCUAGAGUACGGCAGAGGGGGAUGGAAUUCCGCGUGUAGCAGUGAAAUGCGUAGAUAUGCGGAGGAACACCGAUGGCGAAGGCAAUCCCCUGGGCCUGUACUGACGCUCAUGCACGAAAGCGUGGGGAGCAAACAGGAUUAGAUACCCUGGUAGUCCACGCCCUAAACGAUGUCAACUGGUUGUUGGGUCUUCACUGACUCAGUAACGAAGCUAACGCGUGAAGUUGACCGCCUGGGGAGUACGGCCGCAAGGUUG